GGGAGAAGGUCGGAUCCUGGGCUGUGUCCCCUGAGCCCUGUGCUCCCAAGCCUGCGCUGUUGGAUUCGUGCUCCCUGCUGCGCAGCCUCCU
This 91-nucleotide microRNA precursor is filed under the name Canis lupus familiaris (dog). RNAcentral describes it as "mir-8799 microRNA precursor family". It matches the Rfam family "mir-8799 microRNA precursor family". The record is from Rfam by way of RNAcentral. Lineage: Eukaryota; Metazoa; Chordata; Mammalia; Carnivora; Canidae. RNAcentral also lists the same sequence under 1 other name.